UACGUAGGAUCCAAGCGUUGUCCGGAUUUACUGGGUGUAAAGGGUGCGCAGGCGGGCUGGUAAGUCAGGAGUGAAAUCUCGGCGCUUAACGCCGAAACUGCUUUUUGAUACUGCCAGUCUUGAAUCAGCGAGAGACGUGUGGAAUUCCGAGUGUAGCAGUGAAAUGUGUAGAUAUUCGGAAGAACACCAGUGGCGAAGGCAGCACGUU
RNAcentral lists this ribosomal RNA (208 nucleotides) under uncultured bacterium. RNAcentral describes it as "partial 16S ribosomal RNA". It matches the Rfam family "Bacterial small subunit ribosomal RNA", at positions 524 to 730 of the family's 1533-position model. The record is from RNAcentral.